RNAcentral lists this long non-coding RNA (1972 nucleotides) under Hordeum vulgare. Its description in RNAcentral is "long non-coding RNA (HVUL_LNC002682)". Lineage: Eukaryota; Viridiplantae; Streptophyta; Magnoliopsida; Poales; Poaceae. The record is from RNAcentral.
CCAACAGUUGAUCUCUGUCACUGGCAACAGGGAGGUCGACAACGACAGGGAGGAGACCAGUGCUCCACACGCACGCGACCUCGUCUUCCAGCGACCGACAGACCCACGUGCAUCCACAUCCCCGGCGGCGGUGACCUGGCAGAGGACGGAGCGGUUGAUCUCCUGCUGGUGCCCACAAUUAAAACUUAAUCAUGGACAUAAUCGAGAUGGAAAAUUGCAGUUUUAAUUGCAAAAAAACUUACAUUAAACCCCAACCAUUUAAUUGAUGUAUUUGCCCUUUGCCUCUCGAGCUAUCCCAUCUUGCUCUGCCACUGUAAUUGGUUAAUUAAAAGGAUUUAGUCAAACAACAUUCGAAUGUUAGUAAAGCCGCUUCAAGUACCCGCACAGGUGGCACACCCCUAGGACCGGGCCUCCUAAGAAGCUAUAUACAAAGUAAAAUGAAUGACUCUACACUCUAGAAUAUGUACGUAGUUUCAUAUUAGAGCAUCUAAAAUGAUUUAUAUUUAGAAAUGGAGGGAGUAGAGAUCAUGGUGCACUCGAUUUGGACCAAGAAAAAUCUGGACAACGGGGAUCAUCACAGGGGUGAGGGUUAGGUUUGGUGGCUACAUAUUUUUUGUCACCGGAGAAAUUUUACAUGAUGUUGCAAAAAAAAAAUUGCGGGGAAUGUUGCAAUAAACUUCGCAACCAGUUCAAUUUUUAAUAUGAAGAAAAAAAUUCAAGAUCCUCAUCAUGUCCUUGGAGAAUUUUUCUUCAUAUUUGACAUGCUUUAAAAUUUUGCCAUUCUUGAAAAAUGUAAGCUGAUUAAUAAAGAUAGGAAUUAUCACAGAUUAUUCAAUAUUUUUUUUUCAGAAAAGAUUCUUAUUCAACAUCAUUUGAAGUUGGUAGUUGGUUCAGUUUCAAACUGUGUUUCAUAUCAUCAGCCUAUAAUUAAAUAAUUUUAAUUGUAGUAACAAAUUUUGACAGAAGUUGAAACUUGAAGUUCUUUUUUUGGGGGGACAAAGGUAGCAAGCCGCUGCUGCACUAUAUUAUAUGCGAGGAAAUUAUUACAGAGUAUUGGGUCAGGAGUUCAUUACCUGGGAAAUGAAUACACAGGAGCACCUACAAGAAUCGAUUUAGGGUUCAUUACGGCCUCCAGGAUAGCAGGCUUGCACCUCUCAGGUCUGCAGAUAGCUGCCGCCUGCCAUAGACUUGCAUGUUCCAGAAGAUUCGAACAUUGCUGCCGUCUGCACAUCUUGCCCUUUGCCUCUCGAGCUACCCAUCUUGCUAUUCGACUUUAAUGUGCACACAUUCGGAAGGCCCUACUUCAAGAAUCACAAGGGCUAAAAAAUUAGAACGCAGGAAAUUUACAUAUGCCAAGUUGAUCACCUAAGCAUUGGGUUAACACAGUGGUGCUACUUUUCUUUUUCGUCCAAAACGGAACCAUCAUAUCUUGAGUUUCCUAUAAACAAUAGUAGAAUGCAUAAGAAUUCUACUACUAAUUAACAACCCACAAAGUAUGACGACGAAGCUUCAGAAACUUAGCAGCUGCAAAUUUUAAAACAAACAAACAUAAAACACAUCGAGUUCCACAAUUGUUUUCCUCGAAACGACAAUUCAUAACACAUGCAUAUAUCUCACCUGGAGCAAAUACCUGUCUUCAUGCCUUCGGAGUAUAUACCAUCUCCAUUAUCCUAGUGCAAGCGCCUCGCAGUCAGCAUCUUUUGUAUGUGCAGUCAGCAUCUGGAGCCAGGCGCUUGCACUACACCGCCGCACGCGCUUACGUUUCGCGUACGUCCUUCCCACCGGCCGGACGGACCGCCGCCCAGCUCCGGCGGCCGGCGAGCAGCUCUCCGGUCAAAGCUGCAGACGUGCAUGCCGCAAACGGCAUAUGCUUUUCCCCGGCGAGCGAGCGUCACACGUGACCGUAUCAGCCUCGUCGUCCACCAAUCCCGGGACGUGCGGUCGCCAUCAAAACCAUGACGUGACGUCGNNN